UACGUAGGGUGCAAGCAUUAAUCGGAUUUAUUGGGCGUAAAGGGCGCGUAGGCGGGGAGGAAAGUUAAAUGUGAAAUCCCGGGGCUCAACCUCGGAACUGCAUUUAAAACUUCUUCUCUAGAGGAUAAGCGGAGAAAAUGGAAUUCCACGUGUAGCGGUGAAAUGCGUAGAUAUGUGGAGGAACACCGGUGGCGAAGGCGAUUUUCUAGCUUAGACCUGACGCUGAGGCGCGAAAGCAAGGGUAGCAAACAGG
Molecule: ribosomal RNA, 253 nt
Filed under: uncultured bacterium
Lineage: Bacteria
Description: partial 16S ribosomal RNA
Rfam family: Bacterial small subunit ribosomal RNA
Source: RNAcentral